RNAcentral lists this ribosomal RNA (359 nucleotides) under Haptophyta environmental samples. RNAcentral describes it as "SSU rRNA". It matches the Rfam family "Eukaryotic small subunit ribosomal RNA", at positions 595 to 957 of the family's 1831-position model. The record is from RNAcentral. Lineage: Eukaryota; Haptophyta.
AAGCGUAUAUUAAAGUUGUUGCAGUUAAAACGCUCGUAGUCGGGUUUCGGGUCGGGCCGAGCGGUCUGCCGAUGGGUAUGCACUGUUUGGCGCGGCCUUCUUUCCGGAGACCGCGGCUACUCUUAACUGAGCGGGCGUGGGAGACGGAUCGUUUACUUUGAAAAAAUCAGAGUGUUUCAAGCAGGCAGCUCGCUCUUGCAUGGUACAGCAUGGGAUGAUUAAAUAGGACUCCGGUGCUAUUUUGUUGGUUUCGAACACCAGGAGUAAUGAUUAACAGGGACAGUCAGGGGCACUCGUAUUCCGUCGAGAGAGGUGAAAUUCUCAGACCAAUGGAAGACGAACCACUGCGAAAGCAUUUG